Molecule: ribosomal RNA, 355 nt
Filed under: uncultured Nitrospiraceae bacterium
Lineage: Bacteria; Pseudomonadati; Nitrospirota; Nitrospiria; Nitrospirales; Nitrospiraceae
Description: bacterial SSU rRNA
Rfam family: Bacterial small subunit ribosomal RNA
Source: RNAcentral
UUGAGCUUACGACAGGUGCUGCAUGGCUGUCGUCAGCUCGUGCCGUGAGGUGUUGGGUUAAGUCCCGCAACCGAGCGCAACCCCUAUCCCUCUGUUGGUCCGCAAGGAUCUCUCUGAGGAAACUGCCAGCGAUGAGCUGGAGGAAGGUGGGAUGACGUCAAGUCAUCAUGGCCCUUACGUCCAGGGCGACACACGUGCUACAAUGGCAGCUACAGAGGGUCGCAAUACCGCGAGGUGGAGCCAAUCCCUAAAAGCUGUCUCAGUUGGGAUCGGAGUCUGCAACUCGACUCCGUGAACGCGGAAUCGCUAGUAAUCGUGGAUCAGCCAUGCCACGGUGAAUACGUUCCCGGGCCUU